This 461-nucleotide ribosomal RNA is filed under the name uncultured Pelotomaculum sp. RNAcentral describes it as "bacterial SSU rRNA". It matches the Rfam family "Bacterial small subunit ribosomal RNA", at positions 923 to 1382 of the family's 1533-position model. The record is from RNAcentral. Lineage: Bacteria; Bacillati; Bacillota; Clostridia; Eubacteriales; Desulfotomaculaceae.
GCACAAGCGGUGGAGCAUGUGGUUAAUUCGACGCAACGCGAAGAACCUUACCAGGGCUUGACAUCCCCUGACCGCGUAUGAAAGUACGUUUUCACCCUCGGGUGACAGGGAGACAGGUGGUGCAUGGUUGUCGUCAGCUCGUGUCGUGAGAUGUUGGGUUAAGUCCCGCAACGAGCGCAACCCCUACGUUUAGUUGCUAACAGGUGAAGCUGAGCACUUUAGACGAACUGCCGUUGACAAAACGGAGGAAGGUGGGAUGACGUCAAAUCAUCAUGCCCCUUAUGUUCUGGGCUACACACGUGCUACAAUGGCCGGUACAGACGGAGGCGAAGCCGCGAGGCGGAGCAAAUCCGAAAAAGCCGGUCUCAGUUCGGAUUGCAGGCUGCAAUUCGCCUGCAUGAAGUCGGAAUCGCUAGUAAUCGCAGGUCAGCAUACUGCGGUCGAAUACGUUCCCGGGCCUU